This is a long non-coding RNA of Gasterosteus aculeatus aculeatus (three-spined stickleback), 579 nucleotides long. The record is from Ensembl. NCBI's taxonomy places the organism in Eukaryota, Metazoa, Chordata, Actinopteri, Perciformes, Gasterosteidae.
AGCCUCGCCUGGCAGCCUCACCGGACCUGUCAGACCGCUCUUAUCAGCUGGACGGUCUCUUUGGGAGACUCAGUGUCACCAGUAAUCCCGCUUGUUGAUACCAGUGUGGUCAAGGUUUAAAACCAGAGUCCUCCAAGUCCUCCAAGUCCUCCAUGUCCUCCAUGUUCUCCGCUGCUCUUUCGGCUCUCGCUCUCUCGCUGGCCGGAAUGUAGUUGUCCUCGAUGAAGCCGUCGUCGUCUUCCUCGCUCACGGGAGGGACGCGGUGAGGGUUGAUCCCACGUGCCCCGUGCACGUCAAAUUCCACCUCCAGCCCUGGAAGCAACAAGAGUUAUGAGGCAUGACAACCAUCUAAAGGCAAGUCCGAUAUGUCAUUCUAACUGAAAGAAUCAUCAGUCUUUAUCCACCCGUCCAUUAUUUAACGGCUUACAGGGUGAGAUGGGGGGGGGCGAUCAAAGCCGAAUGAAGAAUGAAAGCUGUCACAAUUCCAGCCCGUUGACAAAUGAGCUGGAAUUUCUAUGAAAAUCUUAUUUUCAAAAGAGCCUUUAUAAUUAUAACAGUUUCCUCAAGGCACCAGCAGAG